This 2290-nucleotide unclassified non-coding RNA is filed under the name Leishmania donovani. RNAcentral's name for it is "gene:unknown". Lineage: Eukaryota; Euglenozoa; Kinetoplastea; Trypanosomatida; Trypanosomatidae. The record is from RNAcentral.
CUCACGCGUCGCUUCACACCUCACGCACGCGUUUGCUCGAGCGCGUGACGUAAGUGCGUGUGUGUGUGUGUGUGUGGGCGCCACCCCCGCUCUCGCUCGCUCGCUUCCCAUGCGUGCAUGCGUGAAGCAGGGCCUAACGGUGCACAAGAGCUGCGCGACAGCCACACCGUCGCUCAUGCACACACCCACCAACCUUUCCAUCUUCUCCUACUCCCCAUACGGCCGCACAGCGCAACUCCUUCGAAGCGAUGAACCAGCUGAGGUUGCGUCGAUCUUCUCCCACGCAGCGGGAGUCCCAUCCGGCGACGGGGGACUUGGCGGACAAACACCGCAGUGCUACCUGCAGCAGGAAGCGGCGGUUCAGCAGGUUCGGCAUGUUCUGUACUGCUUUGAUAUGCAUCUUUCUCCAUCUGAUUGCCGUGGCGGGCUUUUCCGGCCAUGCCGCAUCGCGGAGUCCCGAGGACCUGGAUGAGCAGUGGGAUGACGUGCGCUCUUAUGCGGUGUGUUGUGGUCGAAGAUGCGCGGCGCGACGCCACUGUGCACCUAUGCCGGCGCGCGACACUACAGCUGGUGCGGCGCGGUAGACAACAGUAGGUAGGUGUGACUACUGGCUUCGUCGUUGCCCUCCAGCGACGGUCGCGCUGUCUUCGCGUCACCAGCCUUCUGACAGCAGGCGGCCACCGCGGCCUCCUGUUUCGGUGUCGAAGCGGUUCUUGUCACCGCCGACGGUGAAUGGAUUGUAAGAGAAGUGCGUCGCGGCACAGACGCCGUUUGCACGUCAUGCCUUCGUCCACCCCAUCCGCCUCUACGAGGCGCCACACGGUGUGGCGGCCAGCGGCGUCUUCUCGCAUAUUCGAACCCCAAUGUGCGUGCAGUCGCUGACCACCGGCCUUCACGAAGCACCGCCCCAGCUACGACCUGAUGCAGGUAGAGGCGCAGCUGCGGGAGCUGCACGCCAAGCUGCAGAAGUGUCUGUAGGCACGCACGGUUCUGUUUUCGCGGACUGUGCCAGCAGUCGCCAACCUGAGCGCCUUGGCCUCUUCUUGAGCUGCUGCGACGCACGCGUGGGAUGUGGAACUCCUUCUUUGCGCUGCUGCUGAACGGCUUCGCUACCACAGCUACGCAGGCGUCAUUUCGCGGGUUUCACCUCGUCAACUUGCACUUUAUCAACGCGCCCUUUCUGUCGCAGGUCGCUUCAACUCCACGCCAUCCAGGGCCUGACCGCCGGCAUCAGCAGCGGUACAUCGCACUGAACCCCUCUCCCCAUGCCGUGGACACCUGGCCCUGUCACCACUAGAGGCGACUUGGCAUUUGGCAUGAAGUGGGGCUACUGGGCCCAACACGGAGUUGGGGGGGGGCACGGGACCCUGAGACACCACGCACUGACAGGGGUGUGUGCCUCCCCUUUCCUCACCCCUUCAUCCGGGACCUCGUCCUGGAAAACUAGCGAAAAGUGUGGAAGGCGAGUCAUGCGCAUAUUUGGUCAUAGACCGUGAGGAUGACAGCGAACGCUUUUCGGAUGGAAAGGCGCGGAAGAAGAUGGAUGCUUGGCCAUCUCUUCGCACACCGACUCCUUUUGCCCUUCCCUGCUGAGAUGUAUGCGCGCUUGAUGUGAAGACCAUUUUCAUCGACGACAUCGGUACGACAGCAUGUGAGGGAAGCACCAGGGAGGCGAGAUCGGCAACAGAGGCGGCGGGCAGGCUGUGCAAAGAGGGUGCAUAUCAUCGAUGCAGAUGUGUGGUGCGUGCCAUUGCCGUGCGACGGCCAGGCGAUGGUGACUUUGUGAUGUGCUCUGAGGAAGAGGAGGCGGAUGGUGGUGGUGAUGAGGAUAGACGUCACCCCUCCCAUCCCCCAACACACGUGCCUAGAACCGCCCACGGGGAGACACAUCUCGCUCCCCUCCCUCCCCACUGUGCACGCGGUGGGGCAGCACCGCCGAGAGCACGACACGGCCGCGAUGUGUACAGAGAGGCAGCGGGAACACGAAGGCGACGCACACGUAUGGCCUAUGCCGAUCUCUUUCGAGUGAUGACUCUGCGUGCCCUCUUUUCUGUGGCGCGGGAAGAUUUGCACAAGCAAGGCAGAGCAGCGCUUUCGAGGAGCAGGCCAGAUAAUCCAGCCUUGAAGCGCGCCGUUCUCUUUUCCUGGCGGCACCCGACUCCCGUUCCCGCAUGCCUCUCCUGUCGUCACCCACGCAUACUUGUAACAUCCUGGCGUACGCGGACUGAAGCGCCCACCAUAGUGCACUCACCCUUCUCCUCUUCCUCUUUGUGUUGCUUCUUGCCAUCAG